RNAcentral lists this ribosomal RNA (253 nucleotides) under uncultured bacterium. Its description in RNAcentral is "partial 16S ribosomal RNA". It matches the Rfam family "Bacterial small subunit ribosomal RNA", at positions 524 to 776 of the family's 1533-position model. The record is from RNAcentral.
UACGUAGGGUGCAAGCGUUGUCCGGAAUUAUUGGGCGUAAAGGGUGUGUAGGCGGUUGUUUAAGUUUGGUGUGAAAUCUCCCGGCUCAACUGGGAGGGUGCGCCGAAUACUGAAUGACUAGAGUGCGGGAGAGGAAAGUGGAAUUCCUGGUGUAGCGGUGAAAUGCGUAGAUAUCAGGAGGAACACCGGUGGUGUAGACGGCUUUCUGGACCGUAACUGACGCUGAGACACGAAAGCGUGGGUAGCGAACAGG